GGCAUAAGCUCAGAGAAGUCAUACGAACAGCUCAGAUGUGAAAGAAACUUGAUAAGUGUUUUCUCAAAUUUGAUAGAAAGUCUAAAAUCUACAUGAUGUUAUCAAUAAUGAGUAAAUAUUACAAAAUUGCGAUUUGUAUAAAGAGACAAAGAUAAAGAAUUUGCCAGCUGAAAGGGUGAAUAAACGCUGAAAAUAUGGAUUCCAAAAAUUGUUGCCCCUCAGAAAUGUAAGGACAAAAAGCAUUAUAAGGAUGUGUCAGGCAAUCAAUAAAAAUAUAAUUUUCUAUGAA
Long non-coding RNA from Leopardus geoffroyi (Geoffroy's cat), 289 nucleotides. RefSeq lists it as uncharacterized. The transcript has 2 exons. Lineage: Eukaryota; Metazoa; Chordata; Mammalia; Carnivora; Felidae. The record is from RefSeq and is a predicted model, not a curated record.